RNAcentral lists this transfer RNA (75 nucleotides) under Parnassia submysorensis. RNAcentral's name for it is "tRNA-His". The stretch from base 14 to 75 matches the Rfam family "tRNA", at positions 1 to 59 of the family's 71-position model. Rfam says of the family: Transfer RNA (tRNA) molecules are approximately 80 nucleotides in length. Their secondary structure includes four short double-helical elements and three loops (D, anti-codon, and T loops). The record is from RNAcentral. Lineage: Eukaryota; Viridiplantae; Streptophyta; Magnoliopsida; Celastrales; Celastraceae. RNAcentral also lists the same sequence under 1 other name.
CCGUCGUUCGCCGGCGGAUGUAGCCAAGUGGAUCAAGGCAGUGGAUUGUGAAUCCACCAUGCGCGGGUUCAAUUC